GGGACAUGCCACAAUAACAAGUAGGAGUGAACUCCUACUUCAUGGUUGUGUAUCACCAUCCAUCACACACAAAAGAGACCAAAAGACAAAAAACAGAUGCCAACUUACAUGUUAUUAACUGAAAAACUACUGGGUGAGCUAAGGCACAGUAGAAUCAUUUCCCAAGAUGAGGAUACUUCAAACAUCUUUGGCUCAUCACCUCAAUACUAGUGGUAAACAUGGCUUCUGAAAAGGAAGAUACUUUCCUGCAUAUCUAGUCACAUCCCAAGAGGAGAAGCCCUAAGUACUCCCUGACAUUUAUCUUCCUUCCAGAGCCAGGAGAAACUGUAGGGUAAAUCCAGUACCCUUCUAGCCACAAGGAAGUACAGCAUCGUAUUGCAAUAUUGAAUUAAAUUCUAUAGCAAA
This is a long non-coding RNA of Chiroxiphia lanceolata (lance-tailed manakin), 405 nucleotides long. RefSeq lists it as uncharacterized. The record is from RefSeq and is a predicted model, not a curated record. Lineage: Eukaryota; Metazoa; Chordata; Aves; Passeriformes; Pipridae. The transcript has 3 exons.